RNAcentral lists this ribosomal RNA (985 nucleotides) under human gut metagenome. RNAcentral's name for it is "bacterial LSU rRNA". It matches the Rfam family "Bacterial large subunit ribosomal RNA", at positions 1945 to 2925 of the family's 2925-position model. The record is from RNAcentral.
ACGGUCCUAAGGUAGCGAAAUUCCUUGUCGGGUAAGUUCCGACCUGCACGAAUGGCAUAAUGAUGGCCAGGCUGUCUCCACCCGAGACUCAGUGAAAUUGAAAUCGCCGUGAAGAUGCGGUGUACCCGCGGCUAGACGGAAAGACCCCGUGAACCUUUACUAUAGCUUGACACUGAACAUUGAAUUUUGAUGUGUAGGAUAGGUGGGAGACUUAGAAGAUGAUACGCCAGUAUUGUUGGAGUCGUCCUUGAAAUACCACCCUUUAACGUUUGAUGUUCUAACGAAGAUUACGAAACGUGGUCUCGGACAGUGUCUGGUGGGUAGUUUGACUGGGGCGGUCUCCUCCCAAAGAGUAACGGAGGAGCACGAAGGUUUGCUAAUGACGGUCGGACAUCGUCAGGUUAGUGCAAUGGUAUAAGCAAGCUUAACUGCGAGACAGACAAGUCGAGCAGGUACGAAAGUAGGUCAUAGUGAUCCGGUGGUUCUGAAUGGAAGGGCCAUCGCUCAACGGAUAAAAGGUACUCCGGGGAUAACAGGCUGAUACCGCCCAAGAGUUCAUAUCGACGGCGGUGUUUGGCACCUCGAUGUCGGCUCAUCUCAUCCUGGGGCUGUAGCCGGUCCCAAGGGUAUGGCUGUUCGCCAUUUAAAGAGGUACGUGAGCUGGGUUUAAAACGUCGUGAGACAGUUUUGUCCCUAUCUGCCGUGGGCGCUGGAAGAUUGACGGGGGCUGCUCCUAGUACGAGAGGACCGGAGUGGACUCACCUCUGGUGUACCGGUUGUCACGCCAGUGGCAUCGCCGGGUAGCUAUGUGGGGAAAGGAUAACCGCUGAAAGCAUCUAAGUGGGAAACCUGCCUGAAGAUAAGUCUUCCUGGAGGCUUGACCUCCCUAAAGAGUCGUUCGAGACCAGGACGUUGAUAGGUUGGGUGUGUAAGCGCUGUAAGGCGUUAAGCUAACCAAUACUAAUUGCUCGUGCAGCUUGAUCCU